RNAcentral lists this small nucleolar RNA (101 nucleotides) under Tupaia belangeri (northern tree shrew). RNAcentral describes it as "Small nucleolar RNA U13 (ENSTBEG00000020669.1)". It matches the Rfam family "Small nucleolar RNA U13". Lineage: Eukaryota; Metazoa; Chordata; Mammalia; Scandentia; Tupaiidae. The record is from RNAcentral.
AAGCUUCUGUGGUUCAGAAGUGUGAGGACUGGGUAUCACACCGCUGUGGGAAGUGCCUCCCCCAAGCCUUGUUAUGAUGUCUACACAGUACUCACCUGACG